Amphiprion ocellaris (clown anemonefish) is the source of this 2012-nucleotide long non-coding RNA. The record is from Ensembl. NCBI's taxonomy places the organism in Eukaryota, Metazoa, Chordata, Actinopteri, Pomacentridae.
CUCGGCAUGUCGCGGAGCGUCUACUUCACCUGCAGAGCUUUGUCAAUGCUGGCUGACGGAAAUAAAGUUUUGUUUGUUUUUAAACAACACCACCUGUAGAGCGCGUUGAACAGAGCGAGGUGGCGGCAAAGCGAAAGUAAAUUUAGAGUAAAUUCAAUGAAACAUGACCGACACGGAGAAAACAGUUUGACCGAAGUCCUCAAAAGUGUGGCAGCAUUUCACGCUUCACAAAACAAAAAACAUGCGUAACAUGCAAGCUUUACAAAAGUGAUAUGAUGUACGGGAGCACCAUGAUGAUGAUGCAGCACCUGAAACGGAAACACGGAGUCGCCGAUGAGGAUGAAGGAGCCCAACAGCAGAUCUGAAGCCUUGCAGAGAUGGACACCAAAUGGGCAGCAUGGAAUCCAGCAUAUACCCUCCAGUGACAAGCUUUCCUCACCUAACUGCCUCCACCAUCUCCAGCCAUCAGCUCAAAGCAUCCCAGCCAGGUCUGAGUCUACAAAGUUGAGGCCGGACAAGCCCGACUGUGAUACCGGGAGCCAUCUACAGGAAGCAGAGAUAAGCUGAGAGGUGGCAGGGCGACAGCUCUCAGUGGAGUCACCGUUCAGCAAACCAAUCAGCGUGUUGAGCAUACAAUUGAGCUUCUUGGACUUCAUCUAAAAUGAAAUAGGCUGCAGUGAUGCUUGUGCAAUGGGAUGGAGCUUCUGGACAUGUCCGGAUUUAUCGAUUGGAUAUCCUAUCGCGAUUACAACACUUUGGUGCACACCUCAGAGCUGGAGAGCAUUUUCAAGAUUGGUUUGUGGGCAAAAGCGAGUAAUUGAAAAUCCCCUCUUGAGAGGCUCUCUGUUCUGAUUUGUUGUGGGGGAGGAGGGUUUAUUUUUUUUACAAGGAACAAUUUCAAAAACCUUCUUUCUUUAUCCCACAAUUUCCCCUUCUUUCUUUUUUACUGUCUUUCUCCCACAUUGCGGAGAAAUACAUUAUGAAGCAGCACCAUUCUUCUUCAUCCUCCCUCAGUGACGGAGAGAGAGGAGGGACAGACUGUCCAGAAUAGAUAACGAGCAAGGAGACCGGCACUUAGGAGAGAAGAAGGGGGAAAAAAAGCAAAAAACAGAGAAACAGGUAGAGAAAGAAAAACAGAGAAGGAGACGGAGAAAGACACAGACAAGCCAAGAAAAUAGAAGUCAGAGAAUUAACUAGGAUUGCUCAGAAUCCUUUUGGAUACUUAGUCUCUUUGUAACUCGACUGUGCUGUGUUGGAGGCUAGUUAGUGCAAUGGGCAGGAGAGGGUUCAGGAUUUACACCAGGAGGGCGACUUAAGCAGAAGACAAGUGUUUUGUCCUGUCUGAACCUUCGUGGCCUGUAUCUUAGUGGUUGGGAGGAUGGCAGUCUGAAAGAUGGCUUGGUAAACAGACAACUGUGCUGAAUGACAGACAAACUCUGAGACUAGUGAGACAGACAGACAAGAAUAGAGACAGACAGGAAGACAGAUACACAGACUGAGCGUCAGGCAGAGAGCCAGGCAGACAGCCAGUGCCGGCACAGUAGACAGCAUGCAAUUCAUUGUCAUUCUAUGCAACGUGUGAAGAGACGACAGAGAGAAGGAAAGAAAGCAGAGACAGAAAGAAAGAAGAGGAGUGUCUGUAGUUGUAGUUUUUGGAGAAUCUCACUUCAUCUGCAUCCAUCUCAGUCAGUACUGUGGCAAGCCCAUGCACUAAAAAAAAGCUGGGAGGGAGGGAUCUAUUACUAGAAAGGAAAUACAGGUUGGAGAGAGGGAAGGAGAGAGGUAGAGAAGCAGGGAAAGAAACAGAGGGAGAGAGCAGGUGUUGGAAAUCCUCCCCUUCAUCUGCUUGUCAUUUAUUCCUUUAUGCCCUCUCGUCUCGUCUGACACAAUGAUUGGUGUUCUGAUGCCAGUGUUCCUCUGCUUAUAGGCCCUCUGCAAUCUCUAGAAAAUCAAGAGGAAAGGACAGCAAGAAGGGAAAGGUGGAGCCCUUUUUGAAUUGACAUAUUUUUGCC